This 1935-nucleotide long non-coding RNA is filed under the name Mus musculus (house mouse). RNAcentral's name for it is "long non-coding RNA chr10:53379451-53381386". The record is from RNAcentral. Lineage: Eukaryota; Metazoa; Chordata; Mammalia; Rodentia; Muridae.
GCGGACUCCGGAGAAGCCCUGGCGGCCGUCACCCCACCCGCCCGCAGUCCUCCUUACCCGCAGGGAAGCUGCGGGCCCCGCUGGGGCUGUCCCGGCCGCCAGCCUCCGGGGCCAGGAAACGGCCCCACAUAGCGGGCGAGCGGGCGAGCCUGGAGCUCGGGGCCCGCGGUCGCCUCGGCUUCUGGGCGGAAACUUGAGCGGAGCCUGGGCCUCGGCAGCGCGGACCGGACCCGGGCGGGGGGCUUAACGGCUGUUCAGCGACGGCCCCGGAGCGCGGCGGCUGCCAUGGCCCAGCCGGCUGCGCUGAGGCCCGGGCCGGGGAAGCUAGUAGCUCCCCGGUGACGGCGGCGCGAUCGCAGGCUCCGGGGCUCAAAGCGAAUCUGCAGCUGCGGCUUCUCUCAGCCCCCUCCGCCCGGCAGAACCUUAGGCAGCGGGCCGGGCCAGGACAGGCGGGGCCUGGAUGGGGCUGGGGGCGGGGCCCAGAGGGCGGGGCCUCAAGGCGGGGCCUGGGACUCUUGGCGAACCAAAAACCUAUUGCUAACAGCAUGCGGGUGAUCAUCCUGAAGCCGCUCCCUACUUCUCCAUCCUGUUACCUUCAAGCUGAGAGAGGGUCCAUAAUUUAAUCCCAAACCCUGUCUUCCUAUACGUGCUUUCUAGGGGCACAGUUGUUAUAAAAGGUGCGAGUUGUCCCUGCAACCGCUUCAAGGGGCUGUGGGGCUAGCCAUCUGACUCAGAAUGGAGAUCAGAAUUAAAAUUGUUGUCAUGCGUUCCACAAGCACCGGUUAUGGAUCACGGUGGGAAUAGAAAAGAGGACAUCCCUGCCUCCCACAUCUGCUCCACUUUAUUUCCCACCCUUCCUAGGAACAGACAUCCUGAGAAAAGACAAAGGAAUACAGCAUCCUCUUGCAAUUACUCUUGUUGGCAAUAUAAUCAUUUGAAUAUUUAGAUACAAACUAAACACUGUCAACCACUGUACAAGGAGGCAGUCUCAGCAUGCCAAUCAGAAGUAACCCAGACGAUAAGUUCCUUAGGCUUUGAGUCCAGUGAUGUUUUUCCUAAUGUGGAAACUGCUAACAAAAGCUUAAUAUUGAUGUAUCCUCAAGUAAAAUACUACUUAAAGCUUGUGAGGCUUACAUUUAAAAAUGUGUGCUAUAACUCACCACAUUUGCUGAAAUGUACCAAACCGUGGUUAUACAUCUAGUCUCCUUCCUGUAGAUCUGCAGAUAUUUCUCCAAAUCUUCAGAUGUUGGUCAACCGUCAAAUGAUUCUGAUGCUAGAAGGUGACAGAAAUAUGAAAAUAUAACGAGAUGGCUCUUUAUCUGAUCUAAAAUGUAUCUAAUUAUUUAUUGACAGUUGAAAAGGAUGGGGAAAAAAACAUUAACAGUUCCACAAAGAAAAAUAUCGAAAGUAAAAAUACUAUAUCUACAAAUACAUCUUUUCAUAAUUUGUAGUUUAACAAAAAGCCCAAAUUCGCUGGAAACUUGAUGUGUAACCCAGGCUGCCCUCAAACUCCUGGUUCUCCUGCUUUAGCCUCCUCUGUGCUUUCUAGAAAGAAAGAAAAAGGAGAAAGAAAGAAAGAAAGAAAGAAAGAAAGAAAGAAAGAAAGAAAGAAAGAAAGAAAGAGAGAGAGAGAGAGAGAGAGAGGAAGGAAGGAAGGAAGGAAGGAAGGAAGGAAGGAAGGAAGGAAGGAAGAAAGAAAGAAAGGGAGGGAGGGAGUAAGAAGGAAAGAAAGGUUCCGGUCGCUUAGAGAUUCUUAAACAUUUAAAACUCACAACCUCAUAACCCCUUUUGUCCAAGAAACUUUUAUACAACACUGGAUGACUAGAUAAAUAAAAUGGUGUUCAAGGCAAAUGUUUGCUUAUAUUAUAAAUUUAUUUUAAUAAAUUAUUUAUUACAUAUACAAAUUUACCAUUCAUUAAAGAUGAAAACACUCUG